RNAcentral lists this ribosomal RNA (253 nucleotides) under uncultured bacterium. RNAcentral describes it as "partial 16S ribosomal RNA". It matches the Rfam family "Bacterial small subunit ribosomal RNA", at positions 524 to 776 of the family's 1533-position model. The record is from RNAcentral.
UACAGAGGGUGCAAGCGUUGUUCGGAAUUACUGGGCGUAAAGGGCUCGUAGGCGGCCAACUAAGUCAGACGUGAAAUCCCUCGGCUUAACCGGGGAACUGCAUCUGAUACUGGAUGGCUUGAGAUUGGGAGAGGGAUGCGGAAUUCCAGGUGUAGCGGUGAAAUGCGUAGAUAUCUGGAGGAACACCGGUGGCGAAGGCGGCAUCCUGGACCAACACUGACGCUGAGGAGCGAAAGCCAGGGGAGCAAACGGG